This 331-nucleotide ribosomal RNA is filed under the name uncultured bacterium. Its description in RNAcentral is "bacterial SSU rRNA". It matches the Rfam family "Bacterial small subunit ribosomal RNA", at positions 8 to 334 of the family's 1533-position model. The record is from RNAcentral.
AGGGUUCGAUUAUGGCUCAGGACGAACGCUGGCGGCGCGCCUAACACAUGCAAGUCGAACGAGCGAGAGAGAGCUUGCUUUCUCGAGCGAGUGGCGAACGGGUGAGUAACGCGUGAGGAACCUGCCUCAAAGAGGGGGACAACAGUUGGAAACGACUGCUAAUACCGCAUAAGCCCACGGCUCGGCAUCGAGCAGAGGGAAAAGGAGCAAUCCGCUUUGAGAUGGCCUCGCGUCCGAUUAGCUAGUUGGUGAGGUAACGGCCCACCAAGGCGACGAUCGGUAGCCGGACUGAGAGGUUGAACGGCCACAUUGGGACUGAGACACGGCCCAG